Non-coding RNA from Canis lupus familiaris (dog), 88 nucleotides. The record is from Rfam. Lineage: Eukaryota; Metazoa; Chordata; Mammalia; Carnivora; Canidae.
GGGGGGAGGUCGGAUCCUGGGCUGUGUCCCGGCGCCCUGUGCUCUGGAGCCUGUGCUGGUGGAUUCGCUCCCAACCCCGCAGCCCCCU